Molecule: unclassified non-coding RNA, 176 nt
Filed under: uncultured Cladophialophora
Lineage: Eukaryota; Fungi; Ascomycota; Eurotiomycetes; Chaetothyriales; Herpotrichiellaceae
Description: sequence contains ITS2
Source: RNAcentral
UCACCCCUCAAGCCCCGUGCUUGGUGUUGGACGGCUUGGUCGCGUCAGCGCGACCCCUCCUAAAGACAAUGACGGCGGCCUGUGGUUCCCCCGGUACACUGAGCUUUUAACUGAGCACGUAUUGGACAAGGGCACCCGGGACCCGGUCUUCUCCCUUCACUGGGAAAUUUUUCAAU